Molecule: ribosomal RNA, 392 nt
Filed under: uncultured bacterium
Lineage: Bacteria
Description: bacterial SSU rRNA
Rfam family: Bacterial small subunit ribosomal RNA
Source: RNAcentral
GACGAACGCUGGCGGCGUGCUUAACACAUGCAAGUCGAGCGGUAAGGCCCUUUCGGGGGUACGACGAGCGGCGAACGGGUGAGUAACACGUGGGUGACCUGCCCUCAGCUCUGGGAUAAGCCUGGGAAACCGGGGUCUAAUACCGGAUAUGACUCCAUGACGCAUGUUGUGGGGUGGAAAGCCUUGUGCGGCUGAGGAUGGGCCCGCGGCCUAUCAGCUUGUUGGUGGGGUGAUGGCCUACCAAGGCGACGACGGGUAGCCGGCCUGAGAGGGCGACCGGCCACACUGGGACUGAGGACACGGCCCAGACUCCUACGGGAGGCAGCAGUGGGGAAUCUUGCGCAAUGGGCGAAAGCCUGACGCAGCGACGCCGCGUGAGGGAUGACGGCCCU